RNAcentral lists this ribosomal RNA (253 nucleotides) under uncultured bacterium. RNAcentral's name for it is "partial 16S ribosomal RNA". It matches the Rfam family "Bacterial small subunit ribosomal RNA", at positions 524 to 776 of the family's 1533-position model. The record is from RNAcentral.
UACAGAGGGUGCAAGCGUUAAUCGGAAUUACUGGGCGUAAAGCGUGCGCAGGCGGUUUUGUAAGUCUGUCGUGAAAGCCCCGGGCUCAACCUGGGAAUUGCAUUGGAGACUGCAAGGCUUGAAUCUGGCAGAGGGGGGUAGAAUUCCACGUGUAGCAGUGAAAUGCGUAGAGAUGUGGAGGAACACCGAUGGCGAAGGCAGCCCCCUGGGUCAAGAUUGACGCUCAUGCACGAAAGCGUGGGGAGCAAACAGG